GUGCCAGCCGCCGCGGUAAUACCGGCAGCCCGAGUGAUGGCCGAUCUUAUUGGGCCUAAAGCGUCCGUAGCUGGCCGCGCAAGUCCAUCGGAAAAUCCACCCGCCCAACGGGUGGACGUCCGGUGGAAACUGUGUGGCUUGGGACCGGAAGGCGCGACGGGUACGUCCGGGGUAGGAGUGAAAUCCCGUAAUCCUGGACGGACCGCCGAUGGCGAAAGCACGUCGCGAAGACGGAUCCGACAGUGAGGGACGAAAGCUAGGGUCUCGAACCGGAUUAGAUACCCCAGUAGUCC
This 293-nucleotide ribosomal RNA is filed under the name uncultured bacterium. RNAcentral's name for it is "partial 16S ribosomal RNA". It matches the Rfam family "Archaeal small subunit ribosomal RNA", at positions 455 to 747 of the family's 1478-position model. The record is from RNAcentral.